UUCCGGUUGAUCCUGCCGGAGGUUACUGCUAUCGGUGUUCGCCUAAGCCAUGCGAGUCAUAUGUAGCAAUACAUGGCGUACUGCUCAGUAACACGUGGAUAACCUGCCCUUGGGUCCGGCAUAACCCCGGGAAACUGGGGAUAAUUCCGGAUAACGCACAUAUGCUGGAAUGCUUUAUGCGUCAAAUGGAUUCGUCUGCCCAAGGAUGGGUCUGCGGCCUAUCAGGUAGUAGUGGGUGUAAUGUACCUACUAGCCGACAACGGGUACGGGUUGUGAGAGCAAGAGCCCGGAGAUGGAUUCUGAGACAUGAAUCCAGGCCCUACGGGGCGCAGCAGGCGCGAAAACUUUACAAUGCGGGAAACCGUGAUAAGGGGACACCGAGUGUCAGCAUCAUAUGCUGGCUGUCCAGGUGUGUAAAAUACACCUGUUAGCAAGGGCCGGGCAAGACCGGUGCCAGCCGCCGCGGUAACACCGGCGGCCCGAGUGGUGAUCGUGAUUAUUGGGUCUAAAGGGUCCGUAGCCGGUUUGGUCAGUCCUCCGGGAAAUCUGAUAGCUCAACUAUUAGGCUAUCGGGGGAUACUGCCAGGCUUGGAACCGGGAGAGGUAAGAGGUACUACAGGGGUAGGAGUGAAAUCUUGUAAUCCCUGUGGGACCACCUGUGGCGAAGGCGUCUUACCAGAACGGGUUCGACGGUGAGGKACGAMAGCUGGGMGCAYSAAA
This 720-nucleotide ribosomal RNA is filed under the name uncultured Methanosarcina sp. Its description in RNAcentral is "bacterial SSU rRNA". It matches the Rfam family "Archaeal small subunit ribosomal RNA", at positions 1 to 724 of the family's 1478-position model. The record is from RNAcentral. Lineage: Archaea; Methanobacteriati; Methanobacteriota; Methanomicrobia; Methanosarcinales; Methanosarcinaceae.